This 336-nucleotide ribosomal RNA is filed under the name Triticum aestivum (bread wheat). RNAcentral's name for it is "partial small subunit ribosomal RNA". Lineage: Eukaryota; Viridiplantae; Streptophyta; Magnoliopsida; Poales; Poaceae. The record is from RNAcentral.
AUGGAGCAACCCUCGCUUGUGGAUCCAAUGCGGGUGGAUGACUUGGUGGCCCCCAGCACACUGAUGGGAAACCAGUCAAUGGAGACGCAGAAGAUCUCCUCGGAGCCAGGGACGUAUGGAGAGAAGGGAGCAGAUCAGCUCUUGACUGAUGGAUGGGCCCCAGUGGAGGAUAUACUACGGUCCAACACAGAUGGGGCGAGCAGUGCGCUGGUGGAGGAGGCAGCCACAUCGGAUACCGUGCCCAUCCACCCAAUGGUGGGUUUGGAGACCACUGUACAUGAUGUGACCACGUCGAUCCCAUGCAGUGAGCCAAGGAAUGUGAAUUUUGAGCUCUGA